Molecule: transfer RNA, 84 nt
Filed under: Fasciola hepatica (liver fluke)
Lineage: Eukaryota; Metazoa; Platyhelminthes; Trematoda; Plagiorchiida; Fasciolidae
Description: tRNA-Ser
Source: RNAcentral
GGCCUCGUAACUCGGUUGGUAGAGCACUCGCGGUACUGAGGCGAGGGUGGUGACCAUGCAUGGGUUCGAAUUCCGCCGGGGCCA